This 4652-nucleotide long non-coding RNA is filed under the name Sorghum bicolor (sorghum). RNAcentral describes it as "long non-coding RNA (SBIC_LNC018523)". Lineage: Eukaryota; Viridiplantae; Streptophyta; Magnoliopsida; Poales; Poaceae. The record is from RNAcentral.
UUGUAUGAUGCCCUUAGUGCGAGGUGACUGUGGAAUUUUGUUGGUAUCCUCUGUCUCUGACAUGGUUUAAAAAACACACAGUGGAAACAAGAAAAAUAGGUGAAGAAAUAAAAACCCUACAGCUAUUAGGAUGUGGCUACUGUAAGACGCUGUCUAUCAACCUGUCUAACAAGUUCUUACCAAUUCUUACCUUGCUCAACAGGAGGGAUUGGCUACCAACAAAUCCACAGCAAUAGACGAAGUGUAUCGGUGCCGCAGCAACAAAACCUAUCAAGCUGUAGAAUAUGUGGAGCUAUAGGUGGGCUGAAACAAGGAUCGAACUAGCACCACGUUAGUUAUAAAAAGCAAGUUGAAUAAACGCUCAACGGUGGUACUGUGCUGGUCCUAGCCUAGACCGUGCUAGAGACGCGAGCCUGAACACAAAGGGAAAACACAGCACACCACUAGAAACAAAAUGAGCAGCCCUACUGGAAACAAAAGGAACAACAAUCCCCUUUUUUUAUUUUUUUUAUUUUUUCUUUCUUUCUUUCUUUCUUUUUCUUUAUUUUUUUUUCUCUUUUCUUUUUUUUGGGGAACCUCAAAACCUGAUUAUAUAAACAAAAUAGUACAAAAUAUCACUUCACCACUCUCACUCUCUCACUAGAGUAAGGCUGAACCUCAAAAUUCAAUAUAUCUAGCACAAGUAUGAAGUGCUAUCUUUCCUUUUGGAUCACGUUGAUGGAAACACAGAAUAGACCAACAAGUGGCUGCACCUAUUAUCAAGAUCUACUCAAAUUCCAACCCACAAUAGAUUGGACGCAGUUGUGACUAGAUGGUGACAAGAACUCAAAACUCUAAAGGACUAAACUAAAACCAGCACUGGACACGACCGAAGCAAACACUCAUUCAACUAGCCCUAACUAAGUAGUACUAGCCACGGCAGAAAGGAUUUAUAGGAUUAUGGAAAAGUAAUCUGCUAUAUUUUUUGGCUUUUUUUUUACUAUAGGAAAAACAAACACGAAGAAUUGGAAAUCUCUCACCGAUAAACCUUGCUCUGAUUACCAACUGAUGUGAACCCACUAGGGUUUUUGCCUGAUCUUUCGAUGAGAGGCGCUGGAUAACUCGAUUAGUGAAUGGAGAUGACGUUCACGGCCCGACUACAGCCUUCUAAGGCCGCGCCUUAGCAACCGAUACACUGCCUCCAAUGGCUGUCACGGUCUUGUGGAGCGCAACACCCGGCCACUAGGGCACUCGUCCUGCAAGCAAUCGAAGAACCAGCAAGAACAAGUAGAACAAGUACUAAAUUACUAGAUGUAAAUGAAGGUUUCAAACUCAAUCUCUAAUGAAGUGGGGUUUCGAAAACAAGAAGACGGGCGGCUGGAUCAGCACGCGCGUUUACAAGCAAGUAGCGAAGGCUAAACUUUAUCUAAUCAAAACCCAGUUGUUCAUGGCGGCUCUAGAUGUAAAUAAAUAGAUGGGAGGACGACCAAAGGGGUGCUAGAGUCGUCCUCCAACCCUAGGACACGUCCCUAAUGGACUCAACUUGAUACAUGGGCCAUUGGUCCAAAAUAGAGUGACGCAGCACCAAAACAGAAAAACGUGUCGGCACAAAAACAAGGACUGCGCCCGACUCAUAAGCUGCAUAGAUAUGUGGUUGGACCCAUUGGAAAGUAGACUUCAUGAGCUUUCCAACAAGUAUAGGAACGUCCCAGUUGGAGUCCAUAUGACGCCGUGGUGAUCCAUACAAGUUAGAGUUAUUUUCCAGUCCGAAUCCAACUCCCAAAACGUGUUGGGUUUGAACUCUUUGUUUCCUUGCUUUAGAAGCGACGUGGUAACUUGAUAGAGGAUGUUGUGGAGGCUUGGACCUGAUCUCCAAUCACCUUUCUUAAGUUAUCACUCUUCCCAUAUGCAAUCAGCCCUUGAAGUUGGUGUUGCCUCAAAUUUCGAAUGCAGUUGAACCUUCCCUUGCUGAUCUUGUCCAUUAUUCCUAAGCAACACGAAAGUGCACGUGUCUCCAUUGUCUAAAUAUGAUUGACAAGAGUUUAAAACUGAACUUACUUGAAGGUUGAGUUGACGGGCACGAGCAUGAGUAAGAGGACCAACUGGUGUAGGUAUAUCGAUGGUGUUGAUGUCCUCAUCAUCCUCCCUUUCUUGGAUUUGAGUCGUCCUCGACUCAAGCUCAUGUUCCUCACCCAAAUAUGGUUUCAAAUCAGCAAGUAUGUCCUCCGUCUUCUUUGCUCCAAAAUGUCCCAUCAAACCUCCUCCAUGAGCUUCCUGUAACAACAACAAACGAACAGAGCUAGCUGGAAUGCAUAGCUUGUUAGCUCUAAACACAAACCCAUCACUAACGAUGAAUUUGUUCCAUCCUUUUCCAUCUUUACAACGCAGCAACACUUCAUUAAAAUCAGCAUCAUGAACAUAUUGGUCUUUGAUCGUUUCUAAUCCAAAAAUCUUGUAAUCAAGUUGAUUUAGCAAAGUAUAUCUCCUUGACAAAGCAUCAGCAAUGAUAUUCUCCUUCCCUUUCUUGUGCUUAAUAACAUAAGGAAAGGAUUCAAUAAAUUCUACCCACUUAGCAUGUCUGCGAUUUAGUUUUCCUUGACUACGAAUAUGUUUUAAAGAUUCAUGAUCAGAAUGAAUAACAAACUCUUUGGGCCACAAAUAAUGUUGCCAUGUUUCUAAAGUUCGGACAAGAGCAUACAAUUCUUUAUCAUAAGUUGAAUAGUUCAGAACAGGCCCACUCAAUUUCUCACUAAAAUAUGCAACAGGUUUACCCUCUUGUAGCAAAACACCUCCCAAACCAAUCCCACUAGCAUCACACUCAAGCUCAAAAGUCUUAUUAAAAUCAGGAAGCUGUAGGAGAGGUGCAUGUGAUAACUUAUCUUUUAACAUGUUGAAGGAAUUCUCUUGUACUUUGCUCCACACAAAAGGCACUCCCUUCUUUGUAAGCUCAUUCAAUGGUGCAGCAAUGGUCCAACUGCCCAAGCUUGUCAUUCGUCACCUUCAAGUCGUCAGCAAGUCCCUCUGUGUGUAGCUUCACUUGCCUUUCAAAAUGUUGUAUGAUGCCCUUAGUGCGAGGUGACUGUGGAAUUUUGUUGGUAUCCUCUGUCUCUGACAUGGUUUAAAAAACACACAGUGGAAACAAGAAAAAUAGGUGAAGAAAUAAAAACCCUACAGCUAUUAGGAUGUGGCUACUGUAAGACGCUGUCUAUCAACCUGUCUAACAAGUUCUUACCAAUUCUUACCUUGCUCAACAGGAGGGAUUGGCUACCAACAAAUCCACAGCAAUAGACGAAGUGUAUCGGUGCCGCAGCAACAAAACCUAUCAAGCUGUAGAAUAUGUGGAGCUAUAGGUGGGCUGAAACAAGGAUCGAACUAGCACCACGUUAGUUAUAAAAAGCAAGUUGAAUAAACGCUCAACGGUGGUACUGUGCUGGUCCUAGCCUAGACCGUGCUAGAGACGCGAGCCUGAACACAAAGGGAAAACACAGCACACCACUAGAAACAAAAUGAGCAGCCCUACUGGAAACAAAAGGAACAACAAUCCCCUUUUUUAUUUUUUUUAUUUUUUCUUUCUUUCUUUCUUUCUUUUUCUUUAUUUUUUUUCUCUUUUCUUUUUUUUGGGGAACCUCAAAACCUGAUUAUAUAAACAAAAUAGUACAAAAUAUCACUUCACCACUCUCACUCUCUCACUAGAGUAAGGCUGAACCUCAAAAUUCAAUAUAUCUAGCACAAGUAUGAAGUGCUAUCUUUCCUUUUGGAUCACGUUGAUGGAAACACAGAAUAGACCAACAAGUGGCUGCACCUAUUAUCAAGAUCUACUCAAAUUCCAACCCACAAUAGAUUGGAUGCAGUUGUGACUAGAUGGUGACAAGAACUCAAAACUCUAAAGGACUAAACUAAAACCAGCACUGGACACGACCGAAGCAAACACUCAUUCAACUAGACCUAACUAAGUAGUACUAGCCACGGCACAAAGGAUUUAUAGGAUUAUGGAAAACUAAUCUGCUAUAUUUUUUGGCUUUUUUUGGACUAUAGGAAAAACAAACACGAAGAAUUGGAAAUCUCUCACCGAUAAACCUUGCUCUGAUUACCAACUGAUGUGAACCCACUAGGGUUUUCGCCUGAUCUUUCGAUGAGAGGCGCUGGAUAACUCGAUUAGUGAAUGGAGAUGACAUUCACGGCCCGACUACAGCCUUCUAAGGCCGCGCCUUAGCAACCGAUACACCGCCUCCAAUGGCUGUCACGAUCUUGUGGAGCGCAACACCCGGCCACUAGGGCACUCGUCCUGCAAGCAAUCGAAGAACCAGCAAGAACAAGUAGAACAAGUACUAAAUUACUAGAUGUAAAUGAAGGUUUCAAACUCAAUCUCUAAUGAAGUGGGGUUUCGAAAACAAGAAGACGGGCGGCUGGAUCAGCACGCGCGUUUACAAGCAAGUAGCGAAGGCUAAACUUUAUCUAAUCAAAACCCAGUUGUUCAUGGCGGCUCUAGAUGUAAAUAAAUAGAUGGGAGGACGACCAAAGGGGUGCUAGAGUCGUCCUCCAACCCUAGGACACGUCCCUAAUGGACUCAACUUGAUACAUGGGCCAUUGGUCCAAAAUAGAGUGACGCAGCACCAAAACAGAAAAACAUGUCGGCACAAAAACAAGGACUGCGCCCGACUCAUAAGCUGCAU